RNAcentral lists this ribosomal RNA (694 nucleotides) under uncultured Burkholderia sp. Its description in RNAcentral is "bacterial SSU rRNA". It matches the Rfam family "Bacterial small subunit ribosomal RNA", at positions 67 to 756 of the family's 1533-position model. The record is from RNAcentral. Lineage: Bacteria; Pseudomonadati; Pseudomonadota; Betaproteobacteria; Burkholderiales; Burkholderiaceae.
CGGCAGCACGGGAGCAAUCCUGGUGGCGAGUGGCGAACGGGUGAGUAAUACAUCGGAACGUGUCCUGUAGUGGGGGAUAGCCCGGCGAAAGCCGGAUUAAUACCGCAUACGCUCUACGGAGGAAAGGGGGGGAUCUCAGGACCUCUCGCUACAGGGGCGGCCGAUGGCAGAUUAGCUAGUUGGUGGGGUAAAGGCCUACCAAGGCGACGAUCUGUAGCUGGUCUGAGAGGACGACCAGCCACACUGGGACUGAGACACGGCCCAGACUCCUACGGGAGGCAGCAGUGGGGAAUUUUGGACAAUGGGCGCAAGCCUGAUCCAGCAAUGCCGCGUGUGUGAAGAAGGCCUUCGGGUUGUAAAGCACUUUUGUCCGGAAAGAAAUCCUUUGAGCUAAUACCUCGGGGGGAUGACGGUACCGGAAGAAUAAGCACCGGCUAACUACGUGCCAGCAGCCGCGGUAAUACGUAGGGUGCAAGCGUUAAUCGGAAUUACUGGGCGUAAAGCGUGCGCAGGCGGUUCGCUAAGACAGAUGUGAAAUCCCCGGGCUUAACCUGGGAACUGCAUUUGUGACUGGCGGGCUAGAGUAUGGCAGAGGGGGGUAGAAUUCCACGUGUAGCAGUGAAAUGCGUAGAGAUGUGGAGGAAUACCGAUGGCGAAGGCAGCCCCCUGGGCCAAUACUGACGCUCAUGCACGA